GACGAACGCGGCGGCGUGCUUAACACAUGCAAGUCGAACGAAGAGCGAUGGAAGCUUGCUUCUAUCAAUCUUAGUGGCGAACGGGUGAGUAACGCGUAAUCAACCUGCCCUUCAGAGGGGGACAACAGUUGGAAACGACUGCUAAUACCGCAUACGAUCUAAUCUCGGCAUCGAGGAUAGAUGAAAGGUGGCCUCUACAUGUAAGCUAUCACUGAAGGAGGGGAUUGCGUCUGAUUAGCUAGUCGGAGGGGUAACGGCCCACCAAGGCGAUGAUCAGUAGCCGGUCUGAGAGGAUGAACGGCCACAUUGGGACUGAGACACGGCCCAGACUCCUACGGGAGGCAGCAGUGGGGAAUCUUCCGCAAUGGACGAAAGUCUGACGGAGCAACGCCGCGUGAGUGAUGACGGCCUUCGGGUUGUAAAGCUCUGUUAAUCGGGACGAAAGGCCUUCUUGCGAAUAGUGAGAAGGA
Molecule: ribosomal RNA, 470 nt
Filed under: Veillonella parvula
Lineage: Bacteria; Bacillati; Bacillota; Negativicutes; Veillonellales; Veillonellaceae
Description: bacterial SSU rRNA
Rfam family: Bacterial small subunit ribosomal RNA
Source: RNAcentral